RNAcentral lists this ribosomal RNA (518 nucleotides) under Babina adenopleura (olive frog). Its description in RNAcentral is "partial 16S ribosomal RNA". It matches the Rfam family "Bacterial large subunit ribosomal RNA", at positions 1842 to 2577 of the family's 2925-position model. Lineage: Eukaryota; Metazoa; Chordata; Amphibia; Anura; Ranidae. The record is from RNAcentral.
AAUAUAAGAGGUCCAGCCUGCCCAGUGAUAAAAUUCAACGGCCGCGGUACCCUAACCGUGCGAAGGUAGCAUAAUCACUUGUUCUCUAAAUAGGGACUAGUAUCAACGGCACCACGAGGGCUGUACUGUCUCCUUUCUCCCAUCAGUGAAACUGAUCUCCCCGUGAAAAAGCGGGAAUUAUUAUAUAAGACGAGAAGACCCCAUGGAGCUUUAAACUCAUCACCCACUUCCUUACUUCUAUACCCAACCCAUAUAAGGAGCCUGUGUGGUAGUUUUGGGUUGGGGGGACCACGGAGUACAAUUUAACCUCCAUGACAAAUGGGCUACGCCCUUAUCUACGAACUACAACUCUAAGAAUCAUAAGCUGAUGUUUAAUGACCCGAUAUUCGAUCAACGAACCAAGUUACCCUGGGGAUAACAGCGCAAUCUACUUUAAGAGCCCCUAUCGACAAGUAGGUUUACGACCUCGAUGUUGGAUCAGGGCAUCCUGGGGGUGCAGCCGCUCCUAAUGGUUCGUU